CCUACGGGAGGCAGCAGUGGGGAAUAUUGCUCAAUGAGCGAAAGCCUGAUGCAGCGACAUCGCGUGCAGGAUGACGGUCCUCUGAAUUGUAAGCCUCUUUAUACGGGAAGCACUUCCGCACACGUAUGCGCUUACAGAUAGUCCCCACCGACUCAGCAUCGGCUAACUCCGUGCCUGCAGCCGCGGUAAUACAUAGGCUGCUAGCGUUCUCCGGAGUGAUUGGUUGUACAGGGUGCGUAGGCGGAUUUUUAAGUCAGCGGGAAAAUGUCUGGGAUCAACCCCGGCCGGCCGUUGUUACUUGGGAGCUGGAGUGAGCGAGAGGUAGGCGGAAUGCGGGGUGGAGCGGUGAAAUGCAUAGAUAUAACGAAGAACUCCGAUUGCGAAGGCAGCAUACUGGGGCCAGACUGACGCUGAGGCACGAAAGCGUGGGGAGCGAACAGGAUUAGAUACCCGUGUAGUC
This 460-nucleotide ribosomal RNA is filed under the name uncultured bacterium. RNAcentral describes it as "partial 16S ribosomal RNA". It matches the Rfam family "Bacterial small subunit ribosomal RNA", at positions 338 to 795 of the family's 1533-position model. The record is from RNAcentral.